Molecule: ribosomal RNA, 460 nt
Filed under: uncultured bacterium
Lineage: Bacteria
Description: partial 16S ribosomal RNA
Rfam family: Bacterial small subunit ribosomal RNA
Source: RNAcentral
CCUACGGGAGGCAGCAGUGAGGAAUAUUGGUCAAUGGCCGGAAGGCUGAACCAGCCAUGCCGCGUGAAGGUCAGUGCCCUAUGGGCGUUAAACUUCUUUUGUGCGGGAGCAAUAAUGGUCACGUGUGGCCAGACGAGAGUACCGUACGAAUAAGCAUCGGCUAACUCCGUGCCAGCAGCCGCGGUAAUACGGGGGAUGCAAGCGUUAUCCGGAUUUAUUGGGUUUAAAGGGUGCGUAGGCUGUGAGGUAAGUCAGCGGUGAAAUGCCCCCGCUCAACGGGGUGAAGUGCCAUUGAUACUGCCUGGCUGGAAUGCGGAGGCCGUGGGAGGAAUGUGUGGUGUAGCGGUGAAAUGCAUAGAUAUCACACAGAACACCGAUUGCGAAGGCAUCUCACGAAUCCGCGAUUGACGCUGAUGCACGAAAGCGUGGGUAUCAAACAGGAUUAGAUACCCGAGUAGUC